ACAGACACACAGUCAGACACAAACACACACAGUCAGACACACACAGUCAGACACAUACACAGUCAGACACAUACACACAGUCAGACACAAACACACACAUACACACAGUCAAACACACACAGACACACACAGUCAGACACAAACACACACACACACAGUCAGACACACACACACAGUCAGACACACACACACAGUCAUACACACACAAUCACUCACA
This is a non-coding RNA of Pelobates cultripes (western spadefoot toad), 217 nucleotides long. The record is from the annotation of a GenBank genome assembly. NCBI's taxonomy places the organism in Eukaryota, Metazoa, Chordata, Amphibia, Anura, Pelobatidae.